This 43-nucleotide non-coding RNA is filed under the name Schistosoma mansoni. The record is from RNAcentral. Lineage: Eukaryota; Metazoa; Platyhelminthes; Trematoda; Strigeidida; Schistosomatidae.
CGUUACUGAGGAGUCCCACAACAGGACGAAACGGCCGUCAAGG